This 440-nucleotide ribosomal RNA is filed under the name uncultured bacterium. RNAcentral describes it as "partial 16S ribosomal RNA". It matches the Rfam family "Bacterial small subunit ribosomal RNA", at positions 338 to 795 of the family's 1533-position model. The record is from RNAcentral.
CCUACGGGAGGCAGCAGUAGGGAAUAUUGCUCAAUGGGGGAAACCCUGAAGCAGCAACGCCGCGUGGAGGAUGAAUGUUUUAGGAUUGUAAACUCCUUUUGUUAGAGAAGUUUAUGACGGUAUCUAACGAAUAAGCAACGGCUAACUCCGUGCCAGCAGCCGCGGUAAUACGGAGGGUGCAAGCGUUACUCGGAAUCACUGGGCGUAAAGAGUGCGUAGGCGGGGUAAUAAGUCAGAUGUGAAAUCCUGUAGCUUAACUACAGAACUGCAUUUGAAACUGUUACUCUGGAGUGUGGGAGAGGUAGGUGGAAUUCUUGGUGUAGGGGUAAAAUGCGUAGAGAUCAAGAGGAAUACUCAUUGCGAAGGCGACCUGCUGGAACAUUACUGACGCUGAUGCACGAAAGCGUGGGGAGCAAACAGGAUUAGAUACCCGAGUAGUC